AGAACGAACGCUGGCGGCAUGCCUAACACAUGCAAGUCGAACGCUUUUGGGGCUUCGGUCCCAAAGGAGUGGCGCACGGGUGAGUAGCGCGUGGGAACCUGCCCUGUUGUGGGGGAUAACCGAGGGAAACUUCGGCUAAUACCGCAUACGCCCGGGGGAAACUCCGGGGAAAGAUUUAUCGCAGCAGGAGGGGCCCGCGUCGGAUUAGGUAGUUGGUGGGGUAACGGCCCACCAAGCCUGUGAUCCGUAGCUGGUCUGAGAGGAUGAUCAGCCACACUGGGACUGAGACACGGCCCAGACUCCUACGGGAGGCAGCAGUGGGGAAUAUUGGACAAUGGGCGCAAGCCUGAUCCAGCAAUGCCGCGUGAGUGAUGAAGGCCUUCGGGUUGUAAAGCUCUUUCGCACGCGACGAUGAUGACGGUAGCGUGAGAAGAGCCCGGCUAACUUCGUGCCAGCAGCCGC
Molecule: ribosomal RNA, 462 nt
Filed under: uncultured bacterium
Lineage: Bacteria
Description: SSU rRNA
Rfam family: Bacterial small subunit ribosomal RNA
Source: RNAcentral